CCCUUAGACGUUCUGGGCCGCACGCGCGCUACACUGACCAGUGCAACAAGCAUCCGUCCUUGGCCGACAGGCUCGGGCAAUCUUUGAACGCUGGUCGUGAUGGGGAUAGACUUUUGCAAUUUUUGGUCUUCAACGAGGAAUUCCUAGUAAACGCAAGUCAUCAACUUGCAUUGAUUACGUCCCUGCCCUUUGUACACACCGCCCGUCGUACCUACCGAUUGAAUGGUCCGGUGAAGCCUCCGGAUUGGCGCGCACCUCGGUGCCGCCGAGAAGUUGGCUAAACCUUACCAUUUAGAGGAAGGUGAAGUCGUAACA
Molecule: ribosomal RNA, 315 nt
Filed under: uncultured eukaryote
Lineage: Eukaryota
Description: partial 18S ribosomal RNA
Rfam family: Eukaryotic small subunit ribosomal RNA
Source: RNAcentral